This 929-nucleotide ribosomal RNA is filed under the name Phycisphaerae bacterium. RNAcentral's name for it is "bacterial SSU rRNA". It matches the Rfam family "Bacterial small subunit ribosomal RNA", at positions 1 to 966 of the family's 1533-position model. The record is from RNAcentral. Lineage: Bacteria; Pseudomonadati; Planctomycetota; Phycisphaerae.
AAUUGAAGAGUUUGAUCCUGGCUCAGAUUGAACGCUGGCGGCAUGGCUAAAACAUGCAAGUCGAGCGCGAACGUCCUUCGGGACUAGUAGAGCGGCGAAAGGGCGAGGAAUACAUUCCUACGUACCCCAAGGUCGAGGAUAGCCCGAGGAAACUCGGGGUAAUACUCGAUGUGGUGCUUCGGCAUCAAAGGCUUGCUGCCUUGGGAGCGGGGAAUGCCCUAUCAGGUUGUUGGUGAGGUAACGGCUCACCAAGCCGAAGACGGGUAGCGGGUGUGAGAGCACGACCCGCCGCAUCGGGACUGAGACACUGCCCGGACUCCUACGGGAGGCUGCAGUAACGAAUCUUCCGCAAUGCACGAAAGUGUGACGGGGCAAUGCCGCGUGUGGGAUGAAGCCCUUCGGGGUGUAAACCACUGUCAGGGUUCAGGAAACAAAUGACCAGACCCAAAGGAAGGGCCGGCUAACUCUGUGCCAGCAGCCGCGGUAAUACAGAGGGCCCGAGCGUUAAUCGGAAUCACUGGGCUUAAAGCGUACGUAGGCGGACUUGUAGGCAUCUUGUGAAAUCCCUCGGCUCAACCGGGGAAUUGCAGGGUGAACCACAAGUCUUGAGGCGAGUAGAGGCGGUCGGAACGAUAGGUGGAGCGGUGAAAUGCGUAGAUAUCUAUCGGAACGCCAAAGGUGAAGACAGGCCGCUGGGCUCGUCCUGACGCUGAGGUACGAAAGCAUGGGUAGCGAACGGGAUUAGAUACCCCGGUAGUCCAUGCCGUAAACGAUGCACACUAGGUCGGGGAGGUUGACGCCCUCCCGGCCGAAGCAAAAGUGUUUAGUGUGCCGCCUGGGGAGUACGGUCGCAAGGCUAAAACUCAAAGGAAUUGACGGGGGCUCACACAAGCGGUGGAGCAUGUGGCUUAAUUCGAAGCAACGCGAAG